AGGUAGUAUUAAUUAAUAAAACCUAUAUAUUACGACGGCAUUACAAUCUAAUUAGAGGAACUUGUUUACUAAUUGAUAUGCCCCAAUAUUUUUCACUUAUUAUAAAAACUUAUAUACCGCCAUCUAAAGAAUUAAUUUAAUUAUAUUAAUCUUAAUAAAAAAUAAAAAGAUAGGUCAAGGUAUAGUCUAUUUUUAAGAACAAAAUGAGUUACAAUAAAUUAAAUUUAAGAAUUUUUGUUUAUAAACAAAUAUGAAAAAGGAUUUAUAAGUAAUUAUAAUAAUAAUAAUUUAAAUUGAAUGAGAUAUUAAAAUGUGU
Molecule: ribosomal RNA, 316 nt
Filed under: Eilica cf. trilineata NP004
Lineage: Eukaryota; Metazoa; Arthropoda; Arachnida; Araneae; Gnaphosidae
Description: partial 12S ribosomal RNA
Source: RNAcentral